RNAcentral lists this ribosomal RNA (200 nucleotides) under uncultured bacterium. RNAcentral's name for it is "partial 16S ribosomal RNA". It matches the Rfam family "Bacterial small subunit ribosomal RNA", at positions 30 to 230 of the family's 1533-position model. The record is from RNAcentral.
AUUGAACGCUGGCGGAAUGCUUUACACAUGCAAGUCGAACGAUGAACCUUAGCUUGCUAGGGGGAUUAGUGGCGAACGGGUGAGUAAUAUAUCGGAACGUGCCCAGUCGUGGGGGAUAACUGCUCGAAAGAGCAGCUAAUACCGCAUACGCCCUGAGGGGGAAAGCGGGGGACCGUAAGGCCUCGCGUAAUUGGAGCGGC